UCGUGCUAGACGGGGCGCUAGCGGUGCCCUGCACCCGAAAUCCGCUACAUGCGGGGUCGAAUUCCCUUCCGAGGGUUCGUUUGCCCGGAGACUGUGGGGCGGAGCGGCGUUGAUGGUUGGGUCCUGUGCGGCGGGGGCCUGUGAACCGUGUCAGGACCGAGAGGUAGCAGCACUAAGCAGUUUCCUCAGGUGCCACGGGGUCGCCUGGCCUGAGCAAGCUGGUACCAGCAAGCCCGGGUAACAAUUCUGAAGAAGGGUGCACGA
RNAcentral lists this signal recognition particle RNA (264 nucleotides) under Anaerolineae bacterium. Its description in RNAcentral is "Bacterial large signal recognition particle RNA". It matches the Rfam family "Bacterial large signal recognition particle RNA". From Rfam's summary of the family: The signal recognition particle (SRP) is a universally conserved ribonucleoprotein involved in the co-translational targeting of proteins to membranes. Archaeal SRP consists of a 7S RNA and homologues of the eukaryotic SRP19 and SRP54 proteins. Lineage: Bacteria; Bacillati; Chloroflexota; Anaerolineae. The record is from Rfam by way of RNAcentral.